Molecule: ribosomal RNA, 553 nt
Filed under: uncultured bacterium
Lineage: Bacteria
Description: partial 16S ribosomal RNA
Rfam family: Bacterial small subunit ribosomal RNA
Source: RNAcentral
UGGGGAAUUUUGGACAAUGGGCGAAAGCCUGAUCCAGCAAUGCCGCGUGUGUGAAGAAGGCCUUCGGGUUGUAAAGCACUUUUGUCCGGAAAGAAAUCCUUGGCUCUAAUACAGUCGGGGGAUGACGGUACCGGAAGAAUAAGCACCGGCUAACUACGUGCCAGCAGCCGCGGUAAUACGUAGGGUGCAAGCGUUAAUCGGAAUUACUGGGGCGUAAAGCGUGCGCAGGCGGUUUGCUAAGACCGAUGUGAAAUCCCCGGGCUCAACCUGGGAACUGCAUUGGUGACUGGCAGGCUAGAGUAUGGCAGAGGGGGGUAGAAUUCCACGUGUAGCAGUGAAAUGCGUAGAGAUGUGGAGGAAUACCGAUGGCGAAGGCAGCCCCCUGGGCCAAUACUGACGCUCAUGCACGAAAGCGUGGGGAGCAAACAGGAUUAGAUACCCGUGGUAGUCCACGCCCUAAACGAUGUCAACUAGUUGUUGGGGGACUUCAUUUUCCUUUAGUAACGUAGCUAACGCGUGAAGUUGACCGCCUGGGGAGUACGGUCGCAAGAUU